RNAcentral lists this ribosomal RNA (3011 nucleotides) under Salmonella enterica subsp. enterica serovar 4,[5],12:i:-. RNAcentral describes it as "23S ribosomal RNA". It matches the Rfam family "Bacterial large subunit ribosomal RNA". Lineage: Bacteria; Pseudomonadati; Pseudomonadota; Gammaproteobacteria; Enterobacterales; Enterobacteriaceae. The record is from RNAcentral.
GGGUUGUGAGGUUAAGCGACUAAGCGUACACGGUGGAUGCCCUGGCAGUCAGAGGCGAUGAAGGGCGUGCUAAUCUGCGAUAAGCGCCGGUAAGGUGAUAUGAACCGUUAUAACCGGCGAUACCCGAAUGGGGAAACCCAGUGUGAUUCGUCACACUAUCAUUAACUGAAUCCAUAGGUUAAUGAGGCGAACCGGGGAACUGAAACAUCUAAGUACCCCGAGGAAAAGAAAUCAACCGAGAUUCCCCCAGUAGCGGCGAGCGAACGGGGAGGAGCCCAGAGCCUGAAUCAGCAUGUGUGUUAGUGGAAGCGUCUGGAAAGGCGCGCGAUACAGGGUGACAGCCCCGUACACAAAAGCGCAUGUGCUGUGAGCUCGAUGAGUAGGGCGGGACACGUGGUAUCCUGUCUGAAUAUGGGGGACCAUCCUCCAAGGCUAAAUACUCCUGACUGACCGAUAGUGAACCAGUACCGUGAGGGAAAGGCGAAAAGAACCCCGGCGAGGGGAGUGAAAAAGAACCUGAAACCGUGUACGUACAAGCAGUGGGAGCACAGGUUUACCUGUGUGACUGCGUACCUUUUGUAUAAUGGGUCAGCGACUUAUAUUCUGUAGCAAGGUUAACCGAAUAGGGGAGCCGGAGGGAAACCGAGUCUUAAUUGGGCGUUAAGUUGCAGGGUAUAGACCCGAAACCCGGUGAUCUAGCCAUGGGCAGGUUGAAGGUUGGGUAACACUAACUGGAGGACCGAACCGACUAAUGUUGAAAAAUUAGCGGAUGACCUGUGGCUGGGGGUGAAAGGCCAAUCAAACCGGGAGAUAGCUGGUUCUCCCCGAAAGCUAUUUAGGUAGCGCCUCGUGAAUUCAUCUCCGGGGGUAGAGCACUGUUUCGGCUAGGGGGCCAUCCCGGCUUACCAACCCGAUGCAAACUGCGAAUACCGGAGAAUGUUAUCACGGGAGACACACGGCGGGUGCUAACGUCCGUCGUGAAGAGGGAAACAACCCAGACCGCCAGCUAAGGUCCCAAAGUCAUGGUUAAGUGGGAAACGAUGUGGGAAGGCCCAGACAGCCAGGAUGUUGGCUUAGAAGCAGCCAUCAUUUAAAGAAAGCGUAAUAGCUCACUGGUCGAGUCGGCCUGCGCGGAAGAUGUAACGGGGCUAAACCAUGCACCGAAGCUGCGGCAGCGAACGUAUCACCCAAGACAACUUUACGGAGUUGACGAUUGACGGAGCGAAGCGACGUCAAAGCGUUCAUUAAAGUCGAGUUGGCUUAGGGAUACGUUCGUUGGGUAGGGGAGCGUUCUGUAAGCCUGUGAAGGUGUGUCGUGAGGCAUGCUGGAGGUAUCAGAAGUGCGAAUGCUGACAUAAGUAACGAUAAAGCGGGUGAAAAGCCCGCUCGCCGGAAGACCAAGGGUUCCUGUCCAACGUUAAUCGGGGCAGGGUGAGUCGACCCCUAAGGCGAGGCCGAAAGGCGUAGUCGAUGGGAAACGGGUUAAUAUUCCCGUACUUGGUGUUACUGCGAAGGGGGGACGGAGAAGGCUAUGUUGGCCGGGCGACGGUUGUCCCGGUUUAAGCGUGUAGGUGUGUGUUCCAGGUAAAUCCGGUUCACUUUAACACUGAGGCGUGACGACGAGGCACUACGGUGCUGAAGCAACAAAUGCCCUGCUUCCAGGAAAAGCCUCUAAGCAUCAGGUAACACGAAAUCGUACCCCAAACCGACACAGGUGGUCAGGUAGAGAAUACCAAGGCGCUUGAGAGAACUCGGGUGAAGGAACUAGGCAAAAUGGUGCCGUAACUUCGGGAGAAGGCACGCUGACACGUAGGUGAAGUGAUUUACUCAUGGAGCUGAAGUCAGUCGAAGAUACCAGCUGGCUGCAACUGUUUAUUAAAAACACAGCACUGUGCAAACACGAAAGUGGACGUAUACGGUGUGACGCCUGCCCGGUGCCGGAAGGUUAAUUGAUGGGGUCAGCGUAAGCGAAGCUCCUGAUCGAAGCCCCGGUAAACGGCGGCCGUAACUAUAACGGUCCUAAGGUAGCGAAAUUCCUUGUCGGGUAAGUUCCGACCUGCACGAAUGGCGUAAUGAUGGCCAGGCUGUCUCCACCCGAGACUCAGUGAAAUUGAACUCGCUGUGAAGAUGCAGUGUACCCGCGGCAAGACGGAAAGACCCCGUGAACCUUUACUAUAGCUUGACACUGAACAUUGAGCCUUGAUGUGUAGGAUAGGUGGGAGGCUUUGAAGUGUGGACGCCAGUCUGCAUGGAGCCGACCUUGAAAUACCACCCUUUAAUGUUUGAUGUUCUAACGUGGACCCGUAAUCCGGGUUGCGGACAGUGUCUGGUGGGUAGUUUGACUGGGGCGGUCUCCUCCUAAAGAGUAACGGAGGAGCACGAAGGUUGGCUAAUCCUGGUCGGACAUCAGGAGGUUAGUGCAAUGGCAUAAGCCAGCUUGACUGCGAGCGUGACGGCGCGAGCAGGUGCGAAAGCAGGUCAUAGUGAUCCGGUGGUUCUGAAUGGAAGGGCCAUCGCUCAACGGAUAAAAGGUACUCCGGGGAUAACAGGCUGAUACCGCCCAAGAGUUCAUAUCGACGGCGGUGUUUGGCACCUCGAUGUCGGCUCAUCACAUCCUGGGGCUGAAGUAGGUCCCAAGGGUAUGGCUGUUCGCCAUUUAAAGUGGUACGCGAGCUGGGUUUAGAACGUCGUGAGACAGUUCGGUCCCUAUCUGCCGUGGGCGCUGGAGAACUGAGGGGGGCUGCUCCUAGUACGAGAGGACCGGAGUGGACGCAUCACUGGUGUUCGGGUUGUCAUGCCAAUGGCACUGCCCGGUAGCUAAAUGCGGAAGAGAUAAGUGCUGAAAGCAUCUAAGCACGAAACUUGCCCCGAGAUGAGUUCUCCCUGAGACUUAGAGUCUCCUGAAGGAACGUUGAAGACGACGACGUUGAUAGGCCGGGUGUGUAAGCGCAGCGAUGCGUUGAGCUAACCGGUACUAAUGAACCGUGAGGCUUAACCUUACAACGCCGAAG